This 483-nucleotide ribosomal RNA is filed under the name uncultured bacterium. RNAcentral describes it as "partial 16S ribosomal RNA". It matches the Rfam family "Bacterial small subunit ribosomal RNA", at positions 29 to 507 of the family's 1533-position model. The record is from RNAcentral.
AUUGAACGCUGGCGGCAUGCUUUACACAUGCCAGUCGAACGGCAGCGCGGGCUUCGGCCUGGCGGCGAGUGGCGAACGGGUGAGUAAUACAUCGGAACGUGCCCAGUAGUGGGGAUAGCUCGGCGAAAGCCGGAUUAAUACCGCAUACGACCUGAGGGUGAAAGCGGGGGAUCUUCGGACCUCGCGCUAUUGGAGCGGCCGAUGGCAGAUUAGCUAGUUGGUGGGGUAAAGGCCUACCAAGGCGACGAUCUGUAGCUGGUCUGAGAGGACGACCAGCCACACUGGGACUGAGACACGGCCCAGACUCCUACGGGAGGCAGCAGUGGGGAAUUGUGGACAAUGGGCGAAAGCCUGAUCCAGCAAUGCCGCGUGUGUGAUGAAGGCCUUCGGGUUGGAAAGCACUUUUGGCGGGAACGAAAAGGACUGUGCCAAUACCACGGUUCGAUGACGGUACCCGCAGAAUAAGCACCGGCUAACUACGUG